This 2899-nucleotide ribosomal RNA is filed under the name Escherichia coli DEC3C. RNAcentral describes it as "bacterial LSU rRNA". It matches the Rfam family "Bacterial large subunit ribosomal RNA". The record is from RNAcentral. Lineage: Bacteria; Pseudomonadati; Pseudomonadota; Gammaproteobacteria; Enterobacterales; Enterobacteriaceae.
UAAGCGACUAAGCGUACACGGUGGAUGCCCUGGCAGUCAGAGGCGAUGAAGGACGUGCUAAUCUGCGAUAAGCGUCGGUAAGGUGAUAUGAACCGUUAUAACCGGCGAUUUCCGAAUGGGGAAACCCAGUGUGUUUCGACACACUAUCAUUAACUGAAUCCAUAGGUUAAUGAGGCGAACCGGGGGAACUGAAACAUCUAAGUACCCCGAGGAAAAGAAAUCAACCGAGAUUCCCCCAGUAGCGGCGAGCGAACGGGGAGCAGCCCAGAGCCUGAAUCAGUGUGUGUGUUAGUGGAAGCGUCUGGAAAGGCGCGCGAUACAGGGUGACAGCCCCGUACACAAAAAUGCACAUACUGUGAGCUCGAUGAGUAGGGCGGGACACGUGGUAUCCUGUCUGAAUAUGGGGGGACCAUCCUCCAAGGCUAAAUACUCCUGACUGACCGAUAGUGAACCAGUACCGUGAGGGAAAGGCGAAAAGAACCCCGGCGAGGGGAGUGAAAAAGAACCUGAAACCGUGUACGUACAAGCAGUGGGAGCCUCUUUUAUGGGGUGACUGCGUACCUUUUGUAUAAUGGGUCAGCGACUUAUAUUCUGUAGCAAGGUUAACCGAAUAGGGGAGCCGAAGGGAAACCGAGUCUUAACCGGGCGUUAAGUUGCAGGGUAUAGACCCGAAACCCGGUGAUCUAGCCAUGGGCAGGUUGAAGGUUGGGUAACACUAACUGGAGGACCGAACCGACUAAUGUUGAAAAAUUAGCGGAUGACUUGUGGCUGGGGGUGAAAGGCCAAUCAAACCGGGAGAUAGCUGGUUCUCCCCGAAAGCUAUUUAGGUAGCGCCUCGUGAAUUCAUCUCCGGGGGUAGAGCACUGUUUCGGCAAGGGGGUCAUCCCGACUUACCAACCCGAUGCAAACUGCGAAUACCGGAGAAUGUUAUCACGGGAGACACACGGCGGGUGCUAACGUCCGUCGUGAAGAGGGAAACAACCCAGACCGCCAGCUAAGGUCCCAAAGUCAUGGUUAAGUGGGAAACGAUGUGGGAAGGCCCAGACAGCCAGGAUGUUGGCUUAGAAGCAGCCAUCAUUUAAAGAAAGCGUAAUAGCUCACUGGUCGAGUCGGCCUGCGCGGAAGAUGUAACGGGGCUAAACCAUGCACCGAAGCUGCGGCAGCGACACUGUGUGUUGUUGGGUAGGGGAGCGUUCUGUAAGCCUGUGAAGGUGUACUGUAAGGUAUGCUGGAGGUAUCAGAAGUGCGAAUGCUGACAUAAGUAACGAUAAAGCGGGUGAAAAGCCCGCUCGCCGGAAGACCAAGGGUUCCUGUCCAACGUUAAUCGGGGCAGGGUGAGUCGACCCCUAAGGCGAGGCCGAAAGGCGUAGUCGAUGGGAAACAGGUUAAUAUUCCUGUACUUGGUGUUACUGCGAAGGGGGGACGGAGAAGGCUAUGUUGGCCGGGCGACGGUUGUCCCGGUUUAAGCGUGUAGGCUGGUUUUCCAGGCAAAUCCGGAAAAUCAAGGCUGAGGCGUGAUGACGAGGCACUACGGUGCUGAAGCAACAAAUGCCCUGCUUCCAGGAAAAGCCUCUAAGCAUCAGGUAACAUCAAAUCGUACCCCAAACCGACACAGGUGGUCAGGUAGAGAAUACCAAGGCGCUUGAGAGAACUCGGGUGAAGGAACUAGGCAAAAUGGUGCCGUAACUUCGGGAGAAGGCACGCUGAUAUGUAGGUGAAGUCCCUCGCGGAUGGAGCUGAAAUCAGUCGAAGAUACCAGCUGGCUGCAACUGUUUAUUAAAAACACAGCACUGUGCAAACACGAAAGUGGACGUAUACGGUGUGACGCCUGCCCGGUGCCGGAAGGUUAAUUGAUGGGGUCAGCGCAAGCGAAGCUCUUGAUCGAAGCCCCGGUAAACGGCGGCCGUAACUAUAACGGUCCUAAGGUAGCGAAAUUCCUUGUCGGGUAAGUUCCGACCUGCACGAAUGGCGUAAUGAUGGCCAGGCUGUCUCCACCCGAGACUCAGUGAAAUUGAACUCGCUGUGAAGAUGCAGUGUACCCGCGGCAAGACGGAAAGACCCCGUGAACCUUUACUAUAGCUUGACACUGAACAUUGAGCCUUGAUGUGUAGGAUAGGUGGGAGGCUUUGAAGUGUGGACGCCAGUCUGCAUGGAGCCGACCUUGAAAUACCACCCUUUAAUGUUUGAUGUUCUAACGUGGACCCGUGAUCCGGGUUGCGGACAGUGUCUGGUGGGUAGUUUGACUGGGGCGGUCUCCUCCUAAAGAGUAACGGAGGAGCACGAAGGUUGGCUAAUCCUGGUCGGACAUCAGGAGGUUAGUGCAAUGGCAUAAGCCAGCUUGACUGCGAGCGUGACGGCGCGAGCAGGUGCGAAAGCAGGUCAUAGUGAUCCGGUGGUUCUGAAUGGAAGGGCCAUCGCUCAACGGAUAAAAGGUACUCCGGGGAUAACAGGCUGAUACCGCCCAAGAGUUCAUAUCGACGGCGGUGUUUGGCACCUCGAUGUCGGCUCAUCACAUCCUGGGGCUGAAGUAGGUCCCAAGGGUAUGGCUGUUCGCCAUUUAAAGUGGUACGCGAGCUGGGUUUAGAACGUCGUGAGACAGUUCGGUCCCUAUCUGCCGUGGGCGCUGGAGAACUGAGGGGGGCUGCUCCUAGUACGAGAGGACCGGAGUGGACGCAUCACUGGUGUUCGGGUUGUCAUGCCAAUGGCACUGCCCGGUAGCUAAAUGCGGAAGAGAUAAGUGCUGAAAGCAUCUAAGCACGAAACUUGCCCCGAGAUGAGUUCUCCCUGACCCUUUAAGGGUCCUGAAGGAACGUUGAAGACGACGACGUUGAUAGGCCGGGUGUGUAAGCGCAGCGAUGCGUUGAGCUAACCGGUACUAAUGAACCGUGAGGCUUAACCU